CGAUGUCGACUUGGAGGUUGUGCCCNUGAGGCGUGGCUUCCGGAGCUAACGCGUUAAGUCGACCGCCUGGGGAGUACGGCCGCAAGGUUAAAAAACUCAAAUGAAUUGACGGGGGCCCGCACAAGCGGUGGAGCAUGUGGUUUAAUUCGAUGCUAACGCGAAGAACCUUACCUACUCUUGACAUCCAGAGAACUUAGCAGAGAUGCUUUGGUGCCUUCGGGAACUCUGAGACAGGUGCUGCAUGGCUGUCGUCAGCUCGUGUUGUGAAAUGUUGGGGUUAAGUCCCGCAACGAGCGCAACCCUUAUCCUUUGUUGCCAGCGCGUGAUGGCGGGAACUCAAAGGAGACUGCCGGUGAUAAACCGGAGGAAGGUGGGGAUGACGUCAAGUCAUCAUGGCCCUUACGAGUAGGGCUACACACGUGCUACAAUGGCGUAUACAAAGGGAAGCGACCCCGCGCGAGGGCAAGCGGAACUCAUAAAGUACGUCGUAGUCCGGAUUGGAGUCUGCAACUCGACUCCAUGAAGUCGGAAUCGCUAGUAAUCGUAGAUCAGAAUGCUACGGUGAAUACGUUCCCGGGCCCGCUUGUACACACCGCCCGUCACACCAUGGGAGUGGGUUGCAAAAGAAGUAGGUAGCUUAACCGCCGGGAGGGCGGACCAC
Molecule: ribosomal RNA, 661 nt
Filed under: Morganella morganii
Lineage: Bacteria; Pseudomonadati; Pseudomonadota; Gammaproteobacteria; Enterobacterales; Morganellaceae
Description: bacterial SSU rRNA
Rfam family: Bacterial small subunit ribosomal RNA
Source: RNAcentral